GAUGAACGCUGGCGGCGUGCCUAAUACAUGCAAGUCGAGCGAACGGACGAGAAGCUUGCUUCUCUAAUGUUAGCGGCGGACGGGUGAGUAACACGUGGAUAACCUACCUAUAAGACUGGGAUAACUUCGGGAAACCGGAGCUAAUACCGGAUGAUAUUUUGAACCGCAUGGUUCAAAAGUGAAAGACGGUCUUGCUGUCACUUAUAGAUGGAUCCGCGCUGCAUUAGCUAGUUGGUAAGGUAACGGCUUACCAAGGCAACGAUGCAUAGCCGACCUGAGAGGGUGAUCGGCCACACUGGAACUGAGACACGGUCCAGACUCCUACGGGAGGCAGCAGUAGGGAAUCUUCCGCAAAGGGCGAAAGCCUGACGGAGCAACGCCGCGUGAGUGAUGAAGGUCUUCGGAUCGUAAAACUCUGUUAUUAGGGAAGAACAUAUGUGUAAGUAACUGUGCACAUCUUGACGGUACCUAAUCAGAAAGCCACGGCUAACUACGUG
RNAcentral lists this ribosomal RNA (497 nucleotides) under uncultured bacterium. RNAcentral describes it as "partial 16S ribosomal RNA". It matches the Rfam family "Bacterial small subunit ribosomal RNA", at positions 28 to 507 of the family's 1533-position model. The record is from RNAcentral.